UUCGUAGGCGGUUUGUUAAGUCUGAUGUUAAAGACCGGGGCUCAACCUCGGAAAUGCAUUGGAUACUGGCAGACUGGAGUGCAGUAGAGGCUAGUGGAAUUCCCAGUGUAGCGGUGAAAUGCGUAGAUAUUGGGAAGAACACCGGUGGCGUAGGCGACUAGCUGGGCUGUAACUGACGCUGAGGAACGAAAGCCAGGGGAGCAAAUG
RNAcentral lists this ribosomal RNA (207 nucleotides) under uncultured cyanobacterium. Its description in RNAcentral is "partial 16S ribosomal RNA". It matches the Rfam family "Bacterial small subunit ribosomal RNA", at positions 568 to 774 of the family's 1533-position model. Lineage: Bacteria; Bacillati; Cyanobacteriota. The record is from RNAcentral.